AUAACACAAGUAAGAAAAUAAAAAAAAUAAAAAAGACUGAGUAAAUUUCGGAGAUGCAUCUCCGGUUACUGGGAAACUAAACUGCUAAAUUUUUUUGGAGAUGCAUCUCCGAAAUUUUCUACAACUCAGAAGUUGCUUCAAUGGUGUCAAUGUACCGUAUGCAAUGUCAAAAAAACUUAUUUUGAUCAUCAUUUUCAUCCAACAAACAUCUAAUACAUUAUUUCUA
Molecule: long non-coding RNA, 226 nt
Filed under: Lathyrus oleraceus (garden pea)
Lineage: Eukaryota; Viridiplantae; Streptophyta; Magnoliopsida; Fabales; Fabaceae
Description: Pisum sativum (pea) long non-coding RNA (PSAT_LNC008228)
Source: RNAcentral